CCCUCGCCGCCCACGGUGCCCUGGUGACCCCGCGAGCGUCCCGGUGCCACCGGCCGCUGGGCUCUGGGGACCAUGGGGCGCCUCGGGGCACCUCGGGGCGCCUCGGCGUGCCUUGGGGCGCUGGCGGCCCCCUCCCACCGCCGCUGCGGGGGGCCGCGUGCCGCUCGCUGCCGUGGUGGGCGGCGAGGAGCGGCUGGGCGACGCUGGAGCCCGACAGUGCCACGGGCGCGUCGUGGCCGCGCCGCGGGCUUGGGGGUGGCCAGCGGGUGCUCUGCAGCUCGGUUGGACCCCGCUCCUUCCUCCCCAAGCCCCCCCGCGGCCGCAGCCCUCCUCUUCCUCUGCCCCGAUGAUCGAGAACCUCCCCAGCGCCUCGACAGGGCCCUUGGCGCCGGGGAAUCGUUGGCGCUAUGGCGGCAGCGCCGGCGGGCUCAGGCCACCAAAUUUUGGGUUUUGGGAAAAAGCAGGCUGUCAAAUCUCAGGUUUUUGGUCGGAGCAGGCCGCCGAAUUUUGGGUUUUCGGAAGGAGCGGGCUGCCAAAUUUCGGGCUUUGAAGGGGUUACGGCGGCCAUGGCGUCGCGCCGAGCUUUUGCGGGCACUUCGGCGCGGGGCUUGGCGUCUCCGCACGUGCCGGCCAAAGCCGCUUUCCUCGGCAGCCUCUGCGAGGAAAUCUCCCGAAAUCUCGGUGAAAUCGGGGCUGCCGGGGGCCGUGGGGCGAAACUGCCUCGGUUUCCCUUCGGCGCGUGCCCGCGGUUGUUCCUGCCGCUGCGAGCGGCCGCGGUGGCUCUGGAGAGAAGGAAGGGUCGCGUCCGCCCGCAGCGGGAGCUCUCCGGCUCCUGCGGUGAUUUCCGAGGGCAAAGUUUGGCCAAGAAAUCGUUUGCGGGGUCGGGACCAGCGCCGGUGUUUGGCUUUUCCCCGGGCGCCACCGAGGGCCCCCGGUGCCGCCCGGCGCCUUCCUCCUCCCGGCUCCCUCCGAGCCCGCCUGGCCUCGCGCUCCCAGGCGAAGUCUGGAAAUGAUUUGGAGCGAGACGCGAGCGAACGCGGCGCUGGGAGGAGGGAAGGAGGGAGGGAAGGAAGGAGCGGGCGCGCGGCCGCCGGGCUCCCGCCGCGGACAGAGCGGGGCCAGCACGCGGCGCCGGCUGCCCAGGGAGCCGGUGAAUCGCGGUGACAUGGGGCUGGAUCGCGCGGGGCGGCGAGAGCCGGG
This 1200-nucleotide long non-coding RNA is filed under the name Anser brachyrhynchus (Pink-footed goose). RNAcentral's name for it is "lncRNA (ENSABRG00000013626.1)". Lineage: Eukaryota; Metazoa; Chordata; Aves; Anseriformes; Anatidae. The record is from RNAcentral.